CCUACGGGAGGCAGCAGUGGGGAAUAUUGGACAAUGGGCGAAAGCCUGAUCCAGCCAUGCCGCGUGUGUGAAGAAGGCCUUCGGGUUGUAAAGCACUUUCAGUGGGGAAGAAAGCCUUGGGGCUAAUACCCUCGAGGAAGGACAUCACCCACAGAAGAAGCACCGGCUAACUCCGUGCCAGCAGCCGCGGUAAUACGGAGGGUGCGAGCGUUAAUCGGAAUUACUGGGCGUAAAGCGCGCGUAGGCGGUCUGAUAAGCCGGUUGUGAAAGCCCCGGGCUCAACCUGGGAACGGCAUCCGGAACUGUCAGGCUAGAGUGCAGGAGAGGAAGGUAGAAUUCCCGGUGUAGCGGUGAGAUGCGUAGAGAUCGGGAGGAAUACCAGUGGCGAAGGCGGCCUUCUGGACUGACACUGACGCUGAGGUGCGAAAGCGUGGGUAGCAAACAGGAUUAGAUACCCCUGUCGUC
This 465-nucleotide ribosomal RNA is filed under the name Vreelandella stevensii. Its description in RNAcentral is "partial 16S ribosomal RNA". It matches the Rfam family "Bacterial small subunit ribosomal RNA", at positions 338 to 795 of the family's 1533-position model. The record is from RNAcentral. Lineage: Bacteria; Pseudomonadati; Pseudomonadota; Gammaproteobacteria; Oceanospirillales; Halomonadaceae.